CAGCAGCCGCGGGAAUACAGAGGGUGCAAGCGUUAAUCGGAAUUACUGGGCGUAAAGCGCGCGUAGGCGGCUUCUUAAGUCGGAUGUGAAAUCCCUGAGCUUAACUUAGGAAUUGCAUUCGAUACUGGGAAGCUAGAGUAUGGGAGAGGAUGGUAGAAUUCCAGGUGUAGCGGUGAAAUGCGUAGAGAUCUGGAGGAAUACCGAUGGCGAAGGCAGCCAUCUGGCCUAAUACUGACGCUGAGGUACGAAAGCAUGGGGAGCAAACAGGAUUAGAUACCCGCGUAGUCCCUGUCUCUUAUAC
RNAcentral lists this ribosomal RNA (301 nucleotides) under uncultured bacterium. RNAcentral describes it as "partial 16S ribosomal RNA". It matches the Rfam family "Bacterial small subunit ribosomal RNA", at positions 509 to 807 of the family's 1533-position model. The record is from RNAcentral.